CCGGGUCUACGCCUUGGUCGCCGCGGGAUGACAGCGCGGUGGGCUGGGAGUCGGUCUCCAGCUUGCUCUCGGUCUUCUGCAAACAGAUAGAUGUUUUGGAUCCGAUGUGCAGAGGGGGAAAAAUUUGGGAAGGCGAGAUGACGCGCUAUCCGUCUUAGUCGCUCUCUCCAGGACACGUGAUCCAAAGUAGAUAUUGUCAUAUAUCAGUUUGGAGCACUUAGAAGCGUAGGAGUGGUUCACUUAGAAGCCCAGGGGACUGGAUAAAGAUUCUUCAUCAUGAUCCAGAAAGCCAUGCUAUAAAGGCGUUUAGAGAAUAUUGACAGCUGAUAGAGGCUGCUGGCAUAUCCAGUAAAGUCCCCCUAAACAAAGGAUGCGUGCUUAAAACUCUUCUGUCU
Molecule: long non-coding RNA, 395 nt
Organism: Lacerta agilis (Sand lizard)
Lineage: Eukaryota; Metazoa; Chordata; Lepidosauria; Squamata; Lacertidae
Exons: 4
Source: RefSeq, a predicted model, not a curated record